UUUCUACUCCCCCCGUCUCAAUUUUUUUGUUUUAGAUUUGUCUACAUAUGAAUGUAUCUAGUCACGUUUUAGUAUUUAGAUACAUUUAUUUCUAAACAAACCUAAGACAAAAAUGGGACGGAGGGAGUACUAU
RNAcentral lists this microRNA precursor (133 nucleotides) under Hordeum vulgare. Its description in RNAcentral is "microRNA MIR1122". It matches the Rfam family "MIR1120/MIR1122 microRNA precursor family". The record is from RNAcentral. Lineage: Eukaryota; Viridiplantae; Streptophyta; Magnoliopsida; Poales; Poaceae.